UUUUUUAUAUAUAUUUUAAUUUUCCCCCCGCAGACGAACGCUGGCGGCGUGCCUAAUACAUGCAAGUCGAACGCUUCUUUUUCCACCGGAGCUUGCUCCACCGGAAAAAAGAAGAGUGGCGAACGGGUGAGUAACACGUGGGUAACCUGCCCAUCAGAAGGGGAUAACACUUGGAAACAGGUGCUAAUACCGUAUAACAAUCAAAACCGCAUGGUUUUGAUUUGAAAGGCGCUUUCGGGUGUCGCUGAUGGAUGGACCCGCGGUGCAUUAGCUAGUUGGUGAGGUAACGGCUCACCAAGGCCACGAUGCAUAGCCGACCUGAGAGGGUGAUCGGCCACAUUGGGACUGAGACACGGCCCAAACUCCUACGGGAGGCAGCAGUAGGGAAUCUUCGGCAAUGGACGAAAGUCUGACCGAGCAACGCCGCGUGAGUGAAGAAGGUUUUCGGAUCGUAAAACUCUGUUGUUAGAGAAGAACAAGGAUGAGAGUAACUGUUCAUCCCUUGACGGUAUCUAACCAGAAAGCCACGGCUAACUACGUGCCAGCAGCCGCGGUAAUACGUAGGUGGCAAGCGUUGUCCGGAUUUAUUGGGCGUAAAGCGAGCGCAGGCGGUUUCUUAAGUCUGAUGUGAAAGCCCCCGGCUCAACCGGGGAGGGUCAUUGGAAACUGGGAGACUUGAGUGCAGAAGAGGAGAGUGGAAUUCCAUGUGUAGCGGUGAAAUGCGUAGAUAUAUGGAGGAACACCAGUGGCGAAGGCGGCUCUCUGGUCUGUAACUGACGCUGAGGCUCGAAAGCGUGGGGAGCAAACAGGAUUAGAUACCCUGGUAGUCCACGCCGUAAACGAUGAGUGCUAAGUGUUGGAGGGUUUCCGCCCUUCAGUGCUGCAGCUAACGCAUUAAGCACUCCGC
This 907-nucleotide ribosomal RNA is filed under the name Enterococcus faecium. Its description in RNAcentral is "bacterial SSU rRNA". It matches the Rfam family "Bacterial small subunit ribosomal RNA", at positions 1 to 872 of the family's 1533-position model. Lineage: Bacteria; Bacillati; Bacillota; Bacilli; Lactobacillales; Enterococcaceae. The record is from RNAcentral.